CUAGUCACUGAUGUCUCAAGUUCUCCAGCCCCUCCUCUCCAAGGCGACCAAGGCGCGUUUGGAGAGGAGCCAAACUUAACUGAUUUGGAUUAUGAGGAAAUUCCAAAAGAUACAAUUAGUGACCAUUUGGAGGCUGGAGAAAUCUGACCGGGUCUUAUCUAAAUUUAUGAACUAAAAAGAUUAGACAGGUUUCCUGUUUGCAGGUUUCUCUCCGGGCGCUCCGGCUUCCUGCCACAGUCUGACAUUACGACUGUUAGUUAAUUUGGCUCUAAAUUCUGUCUAGUGUGAUUAAAACAUUUAUUUUCUGCCUUCAUGGUUUGCAUGUUCUCCAAUCAGUGGAUUCUCUCCGGUUCGGUCCCAAAAGAUGACCGUUGGUUUACUUGGCUUUUCUAGUUGACCUUAUUCCCAAGUCUUCUCCCCUCUCGUUUGCUUAAAGUAGCUUUGGCCACUAGGAUUUUGACUUAAAUCAAACUCCUCUUUCAAAUGUGUGCCAAGUUUCAUAAUUCUUGGAUAAAUCGUGGCUUGUGGAUGAUUUUUAAGGAUAUUCUUGGGUGUGUUGUGGAGGAAUUGGGCCACACACACCAAAUAUUGGACCACAUUCCUGUCAGGGGGAGGACAAGGAUCGAUUUCAAGAACGUAGAGGAAGACGCAGACCACCGUCAGGAAGCAGGACGCUGUCACCACGCCCACAACCAGCCAUGUGAAGGUAUCAUCUGGAAAAAACAAAGACAGGAGAGCCCGCCUGUCGAGGUACGUCGACUCCACUGAUUGGCCGUUCACCAGCCAUGUGACCACAGUGGAGUCUACCUGUUGGCAUUCAGUGACCACCAGACAGAACAGCUCCAGUCCUGAACCUGGUUGGUGAAAAAUAUAAGGACAUCGGUCAAGUAUUUAGUUAAACAUCCUUGACUGUGAGCAAAAAGCAGGAGACACGACGACACAUGACCACGUACCAUGAGAGCUUUCGAAGACGGUCCCAUUGACUGAGGACACUGGAUCAGUCCAGGAACCAAACAAAACUCACCGCUGACGGCACUGAGGGUGCUGCUGCUGGGCUGACCCGGACCGGAGGGCGUGGUGACAACGGGCCUGGAGGCAGUGACUGCAGGGUCUGAACCUGGCGGACAGCGCAUCCAGAAUGAGAAACUCAAAUGACAGGCGUUCCCCUACCUGGUGACCCUUUAAACCUGAACCAUCAGGAAACUCAUCCCCCAUCCGAAACAGACGACCUUUACCCCAAAGUGCGGCACACAGGAUCUCGGAGUUGAACCUCUUCUUG
Long non-coding RNA from Poeciliopsis prolifica (blackstripe livebearer), 1279 nucleotides. RefSeq lists it as uncharacterized. The record is from RefSeq and is a predicted model, not a curated record. Lineage: Eukaryota; Metazoa; Chordata; Actinopteri; Cyprinodontiformes; Poeciliidae. The transcript has 5 exons.